Molecule: long non-coding RNA, 1223 nt
Filed under: Mus musculus (house mouse)
Lineage: Eukaryota; Metazoa; Chordata; Mammalia; Rodentia; Muridae
Description: predicted gene, 57142
Source: RNAcentral
GCCAGAAGUCCUCUGUGGGUGCAGGCUGCAGCUGCAGAGAGAGUUGAGGCUCUGGCUAAGAUGAAAGGACUUUGGGAGCGGCAUGGGGGGAUGCCAGAAAGUCUUUCCCUCUUCUCCUCUCCUCUGGGGUCUCCAUGGUGACCGGGCAGGGGUCCGAUAGAUAUUCUAGUUAUGCGACUUGGGCCAAUCCUAUAUCCACCUCCCACAGGGUUCUUGACUCCACAUGCAGAGCGGGCUGAAGCCACUCCUGCUAUCCAGGCAGCGCCUGUCCUAACAAGGAUUCAAUCAAUAUCUCUUGCACUUAUGCGAAGAUUUUCCUAGUGAAAAUACCCAAGACUUCCGGGGCAGCACUCCAGCGCUAACAUGAUUCCACAUGUGUUGUGAGUUAGCAGCCUGCUACUGUCUGUGUAAACGCAAGAGCUGGGUUUGGUUUGCCGUUCUGAAAUACACCGGUGAAAGUCAGCAGUCUCCUCCUCGAAAUCAGACGGAGGGCAAAAGGCAGAAGAAGAUCGCGAUAAGACCCAGGAGGUAACAGUCAUAGGGGUGGAGAUCUGCUUCAUAAAAAGCCACCGCAGGGGCACCAGAAGGGCACAUGUGACCACCAGGCAGGGGUGCGAACCCUUCUUCGCAGUCACCCCGAUCACCCACUCAUUUUACAGCCCAGGGACUGCAAAACGGACUAGCCCAUGCCAAGGAAGACGGGACCGAAGGCUGGAGCGAGCGCCUGCAGGCUGAUGGAGUGACUGACUGACAACUUACACUCAAGCAAGAAAUCAAAUAGAAAUGGAGCCAGGAAGUGCUCCACAGAGGACAUAACUGAGAGAUGCAAGCAAGAAUUAGCUCCCUCUCGGUGUGACAGAGUAAACACUAGAUCAGUGGUGAGCUGGGGGGCGGGGAGGGGCGACAAGGGGAUGGAGGAGACACAACACGUGAGACAUUGCCUACCUUCAUUACCAACUGUGCCUUUAAAGACACGGGAGGUUUUAAUGCGUGUAGCCAUGCUGAUCUUUGUACUUAUGAGUGGAAAACUUUUUUGUUUGCUUGCUUGCUUGUUUUAUUCUUCCGUGGGGAUCGUAGCCAGGGCUCUGUUCACGCCGACCACGUAGUCUACUACUGAGCUGCGUCUCAGUCUCCCCCUCCCGCGACCCCAUAGGAGUUUUUCCUGUAAGGAUCUUGAGUCCUGGCAUGACAUUAAAGAAAAGCAGUACAAUUGCGCAGAACCA